UACGUAGGGCGCAAGCGUUGUCCGGAAUUAUUGGGCGUAAAGAGCUCGUAGGCGGCCUGUUGCGUCCGCUGUGAAAUCCCGGGGCUCAACCCCGGGCCUGCAGUGGAUACGGGCUGGCUAGAGGCAGGCAGGGGAGAACGGAAUUCCCGGUGUAGCGGUGAAAUGCGCAGAUAUCGGGAGGAACACCGGUGGCGAAGGCGGUUCUCUGGGCCUGUACUGACGCUGAGGAGCGAAAGCGUGGGGAGCGAACAGG
This 253-nucleotide ribosomal RNA is filed under the name uncultured bacterium. RNAcentral's name for it is "partial 16S ribosomal RNA". It matches the Rfam family "Bacterial small subunit ribosomal RNA", at positions 524 to 776 of the family's 1533-position model. The record is from RNAcentral.